AUAGCGUAUAUUAAAGUUGUUGCAGUUAAAAAGCUCGUAGUUGAAUUUUGGACCUCGGCCAGACGGUCUGCCUGUUUGGGUACGUACUGUCUUGGCUAGGUCUUUCCUUCUGGAGAGCCUAGGUGUCGUUUACUCGGCGUCUAGGGGAUCCAGGACUUUUACUUUGAAAAAAUUAGAGUGUUUAAAGCAGGCUUACGCUUGAAUACAUUAGCAUGGAAUAAUAGAAUAGGACUUUGGUUCUAUUUUGUUGGUUUCUAGGACCAAGGUAAUGAUUAAUAGGGACAGUCGGGGGCAUCAGUAUUCAAUUGUCAGAGGUGAAAUUCUUGGAUUUAUUGAAGACUAACUACUG
RNAcentral lists this ribosomal RNA (349 nucleotides) under uncultured eukaryote. Its description in RNAcentral is "SSU rRNA". It matches the Rfam family "Eukaryotic small subunit ribosomal RNA", at positions 594 to 945 of the family's 1831-position model. The record is from RNAcentral.